GGGGGUCUGGGGGCUGGAAUGGUGAGGGACAGGGAAGGAAACAGUGGAUGGUGGAAUAAUGGGAGGGUCAAGGUGAGGGGAAGGAAGGCGUAUGGCCUGGUCCCGAGGGGCAGGAAAGGGGUUCGUGGUGCGGUUCUGACGUGUGACCCCAUCCACAGGAGAAUGGACACCUCAGACUCUCCCAUCCCUGGCCAUUGGCGUGGCCCAGGAGCUGCCUUCCCUGGCUGUGCUCGAGGCUCACUGGAGGGAACUUCGUUUUCAUUGUGGGAAAUUUUUAAAAAGUCUCUUACAGAUUUCAGUGAGUUCAAAGCCGCCCGUGCGCAGACGUAGGUCCGUUCUUCACCUAGCUUCACUCUAGCCUGCCGAAAGGAAAUGGUAAUAGAGCUGGAAAAGGUGUCCUGGGGUUGAUUAGAGGAUUUUCCGUUUCAUCUUGGAAAGGGAUAUUGACGGGAGGCCAGAACUUCUAGAUCCUCUUCAAUUUCAAGAAAUACUUUAAAGCCUGGACAAUAUCGGGAGGCCUUAUCUCUACAAAAUAAAAAUGGAAAAAUCAGCUGGGUGCGAUGGCACACUCCUGUGGUCCCACCUUCUCUGGAGGAUGAGGUGGGAAGAUCACGAGCUUGGGAGGCUGAGGCUGCAGUUAGCUGUGAUCGUGCCAGUGUACUGCAGCCUGGGUGACAGAGCAAGACGCUGAAAAAAGAAAAAGAAGGGAAGGAGGGGAGGGAGGGAGGGAGGAAGGAAGGAAGGAAGUAAACAAAUGGCUCAGGCUCAGAGAGCUGUGUGUGGCCCCCAGCUCCCACCCCCACCAAAGGGCCUGCAAACCCACAGGGGGGCAGGUUGUCUUUAGCUGGAACCACAGGGACGGGGGGCCCUGAACUGUAGGGGUUGGGGUUAGGGUUAGGCUUUGAGGUUUGGGGUUAUAGAAUAUAGAUGGGUUUGGUCCUGGGAAAAUUCCAGGUCUGGGUUUUGUGGUCGGGGGUUGGUCUCCGGUGAGAUGCGACAUGUUUACAGGGUUUGUGAGGUAUGUACAGAUGUGUACGGUGCUGUUGUUGGAAUGUGUUCUCCAGAUUUCAUGUGUUGGCAAUUUUGUGUUCUUUUUUUUUUGAGAUGGUGUCUCGCCCUGGCAUCUGUCACCCAGGCUGGAGUGCAAUAGUGUGAUCUCAGCUCACUGCAGCCUCUGCCUCCCAGGUUCAAGCCAUUCUCAUACCUCAGCCUCCCAGUGGCUGGCAUUGUAGCAGGACAAGCCAGAGACAAAAUUCCUCAGACACCAGGUUAAAGAAGGAAGGGCUGUAUUCGGCCAGGAGCACUGACAGACUUGCAUCUUAAGAGCUGAGCUCCCCAAAAAGGAAAUUCCUGGUGCUUUUAAGGGCUUACGACUCUAAGGGGUUCACGUGAAAGCAUUGCGAUAGCUUAAGCAAGUGCGGGGAACGUGACGGGGGGCUGCAUGCAUCAGAUAACAGACCAGAGAGUUUUACGGUGCUUCCUCAUAUGAUGUCUGGAAUUUACAGAUAACACAAGUAGGUUAGGUCAGGGGUUAAUAUGAUUAUUAUUAUUAUUUUCAACCACCAGGGCUGGGUGGUGGCCUCAUGUUCGUUUAGCUAUUUAUCUUACUUCUGUAUUUUUUUUUAAACGUUUUGCUUUCUCCCUUUUUCCUUGUUUUAUAAACUAGGAAAGUGGGGGUGGGGAAGGGCAGGGCAGCAGGAGAACUGGUGGUCUCCUUCCUGAGGAUUACAGGCACCAGCCUCAUUCCUGGCUAUUUAUUUAUUUUUGUAUUUUUAGUGGAGAUGGGGUUUCACCAUGUUGGCCAGGCUGGUCUUGAACUCCUGGCCUCAGGUGAUCACCCUCCUCGGUCUCUCAAAGUGCUGGGAUUAAAGGG
RNAcentral lists this long non-coding RNA (1873 nucleotides) under Macaca fascicularis (crab-eating macaque). Its description in RNAcentral is "lncRNA (ENSMFAG00000063537.1)". Lineage: Eukaryota; Metazoa; Chordata; Mammalia; Primates; Cercopithecidae. The record is from RNAcentral.